AACGCACAUUGCGCCCAUUAGUAUUCUAGUGGGCAUGCCUGUUCGAGCGUCAUUACGACCCUUAAGCCUCAGUUGCUUAGUGUUGGGGGCUCGCCGUAAAUGGCGACCCCUUAAAGACAUUGGCGGAGUCGAGAUGGAACUCUGAGCGUAGUAAAUCUUUUCUCGCUUUUGAAGUCCUCACGUCCCCAGCCGUUAAACCAUAUGACCUAGUCAUCUAGUGGUUGACCUCGGAUCAGGUAGGAAUACCCGCUGAACUUAA
This 259-nucleotide unclassified non-coding RNA is filed under the name uncultured Xylariales. Its description in RNAcentral is "sequence contains 5.8S rRNA gene, ITS2, 28S rRNA gene". Lineage: Eukaryota; Fungi; Ascomycota; Sordariomycetes; Xylariales. The record is from RNAcentral.